AGUGGCACAAUGAGGAGUUACUUUGCUAAUGCAUCUAUUAUGAGGUUGAAAAGCCAAUGACCUGAUACGUCCUUUUCAUUCCUAUUGUACCUA
Non-coding RNA from Hordeum vulgare subsp. vulgare (domesticated barley), 93 nucleotides. NCBI's taxonomy places the organism in Eukaryota, Viridiplantae, Streptophyta, Magnoliopsida, Poales, Poaceae. The record is from Rfam.